UGUCUGGGCCACUCGUAGUCCCACACAAGCAAGGCGCAAGCAACGCGCGGCACACUACCGGCAGGCCGAGCAGAGAGUUAACUGGAUUUCGCGCACAGGGAUAGAACAGCAGCGCUAGGAGCACCACUUCGACUGGCGCCGAUCUAGGUCCACACAUCACCAUGGCGCCCGUCGAGGCCGUAAUUUCGGGGAUCGGGGGAGCAUUCCCACAGAGUGAAGGCCUGCAAAACUUUAUCGACAACCUGCUCGAUGGAAAGAACCUUUCUUCAGUCGACGACCUUCGCUGGAAACCGGGUCUGCUGGGAACCUCUCCUCACGUCGGCAAGAUCGCCAAUACGCAUCGCUUCGACAACAACCUCUUCAAAGUGCACAGGCCGCUCGCUCGCCUCAUGGACCCCAUGGCCCGUCUCAUGCUGGAGAGGUCCAUGGAGGCUGUUCUGGACGCAGGAUUGGCACCCAAAGAUAUAGAAAACACGUACACAAGUGUCUUCAUGACGACGACUGUGUCGGAGUCGGAGUCAAGGACCACCUCAAUCCUGCACGCGAAAAAGGACUCCGGGUACGCCAUCAUGGCCGGCAGCAAGACGAUGAUGUCCAACAGAAUUUCGUACUGCCUCAACCUCAACGGCCCCAGCGUCACCCUGGACGGCGACUGGACCGUGGCGAUGGUGGCGCUGCAGCGCGCUGCCCACUCCAUCGAGACCGGCGAGAGUGACUUCGCCCUGGUCGGCGCCGCCAACACCUGCUUGUUCCCGGAGCUGAACAAGAUCUACGAGAACCUGGGCGUCCUGUCCACGGACGGCCUGUGCCGCGUUCUGGACGAAAGCGCGACCGGCUGCUUCCGCUCCGAGAGCGCCGUGGUGUUCCUGCUGCAGCGCGCCGACCUGGCCAACAGGGUGUACGCCAGGGUCGGCGGCGUCAGAGAGGUGUGCCGCGGCACUCGCUCCAGGUUCCUCGGCGUCGACACGCUGGCCCUGUCGCCGCUCAUGGAGGACCUGUACCGGGAGAAGAGCGUGGACGUCAACAACGUCGCCCUGCUCACCUCCGACGGCAUUUCCAUCCCGGAGAUCGAGCGCGACGAGAUGGAGGCCUCCGCCGCGGUGCUGUGCCGCACGCGCUCGGGGCUGCCCGUGUCCGCGGCCAAGGCGGUGGCGGGGCACGGCGACGCGGUGGGCGCGCUCAUCAGCAUCAUCCACUCCAUCGCCGCCAUGGAGCGCGGCGUCAUCCCGCCCCUCAAGGACUUCACCACGCCGCACCCCGACGCGACCGCCCUCCAGGACGGCAGGGUGCAGGUGGUGAAGGAGGUGCAGCCCGUGGCGCUGGACGAGAGCUCCGUGCUGGCCGUCAACGCCCUGGGCUACUCGGGCUGCAUCGCGCACUCCAUCUUCAGGCCCAACACCAAGGUCAAGGUGCCGCCCAGCGAGGAGAGCAAGCAGUACCCCAGGCUCGUGGUGGUGUCCGGCCGAACCGAGGACGACGCCGUGAGCGUGGUCGAAAAGGUCAUCGACACGCCGUUCGACCCCGAGUUCAUCCGCCUGACCCAGCAGGCCUUCUCCAAGCCCAUCAUCGGCUACACCGCCCGCGCCAUGACCAUCCUGCCCUCGGACGAGCCCGGCAUGCGACCCCUCAUCGCCAGCAAGGAGGCUGACGCCAAAGACAGGCCGGUGUGGUUCGUGUACUCGGGCAUGGGCAGUCAGUGGGCCGGCAUGGGCAAGGGCUUGCUCAAGCUGCCCAUCUUCGCGGAGACCAUCGCGCGCCUGCAGCCCAUCCUGGAGCCCGAGGGCAUCAACCUCACCAAGACCCUCACCACCGACGACAGCAGCCACUUCGACAACAUUAUCCACGCCUUCAUCAGCAUCGCCGCCAUCCAGAUAGGGCUGACGAACGUGAUGCGUGAGCUGGGCGUGGAGCCCGACGGCAUCAUCGGGCACUCCACGGGGGAGCUGGGCUGCGCGUACGGCGACGGCUGCAUGUCCGAGGAGGAGGUGCUGAGGGCGGCGUACGCGCGCGGCAAGGCCUCGCUGGAGAAGCCUCUCAUCAGGGGCAUGAUGGCCUCCAUCGGCAUGAGCUGCGCCGAGGCCGAGGCCGUGCUGCCCCCCACCAUCGACGUGGCCUGCCACAACUCGGCCGACAACUGCACCAUCUCCGGGCCCACGGCCGACGUGGACCAGUUCGUGGAGGAGCUCAAGGAGAAGAACGUGUUCGCGCGCACCGUUAACGUGUCCAACAUCGCGUUCCACAGCAGAUACGUCCAGCCCGCCGGCCCGGUCCUCGAGAGCUACCUCCGCAAAGUCAUAAAGACACCCAAGAAGCGGUCGGCGCGCUGGGUGUCGUCCUCCAUCAACCCGGGCGACGAGAACAAGCCCGAGCUGGCGUAUGCGAGCGUCGAGUACUUCACCAACAACCUGCUGAGCCCCGUGCGCUUCGAGGACGCCAUGAAGAGCGUGCCGGCCGGGGCCGUGGUGGUGGAGCUGGCCCCGCACGGCCUCAUGCAGCCCCUCAUCCGCAGGGGGCUGCCUGAGGGCGCCGCCACCUUCUCGCUCACCCAGAGGGGCCACCGCGACGGACUCAGGUUCCUGCUGGAGAGCGUUGGGAAACUGUUCAUGGAGUGUGUGCCCGUGAAGCCUUGGGUGCUGGCUCCCGAGGUCUCCAUGCCCGUUUCGCGAGGCACGCCAAGUUUGAACACUCUCGCGUCGUGGGACCACCGAGAGGAGUGGCCACUCGUCAUCAACACCAGGAGCCAAACGACCCGGCCGCGCACCGUGCCGCUGUACCCCGAGACGACGGCGUGCAUCGCCCAGGCCGGCAAGCGCUGCGCCGCGCCCUCCACCUUCCUGGAGAUCGUCUGGAAGGAGCUGGCCGACAACAAGCCCCUCGUGUCGUGCCCCGUCAUCUUCUCCGACCUGGAGUUCAUCAACCCGGUCGAGUCGUCCGCCAAAGAGAACAUGGUGGUGGAGCUGCAGCUGCAGAGGGAGACGGGCUGGUUCGAGAUGGCACUGUCGGCCGAGGACGACAACUCCAUGCCCUGCAUCGUGAAGGGCGUGGUGCAGGCGGCCCAGCCCGAGGACCUGCUGGGCAUGGCCUCGGUGCACGCCGCCGACCUGGACGUGCCCAAGGGCACCCUCACCCUGGAAGGGGACGACAUCUACGACGAGCUCCAGGACUACGACAUCAAAUACGACGACGAGCUGAGGGUGCUGCAACGGGUCUCCUUCAAGGACAACGCCACAUCGGGCGUGUCUCGCUGGGGAGGCAGCUGGCACCGCCUCAUCGACAGCCUGUUCCAGCUGGCCAUCGUCACGGACAAGCAGGGCGACAUCUUUUGCGGCAAGAUCCGUAAGCUGACCAUCGCGCCGCAGGGGAUGCGCGCCGUGAGCAACGCGCUGCCCAUCCGCCACGACAUCGACACCGGGGUGCUGGUCGGCCCGGGCGUCAACAUCGUGGGCUACCGCCGCGCCGAGACCAAGGCCAGCACCGCCAUGUCCGUGCUCGACGUGGCCGUGCGCCCCCUCAAGACAGCGCAUCACGACACGGCCGAGUUCCUGCAGUCGGUGGCCAUGCUGCGCGUGCAGAACAGCGACACGGCCGAGGACUUCAGCGUGCUGGUGCUGGAGGAGGAGUGCGACGCCGUGGCCUCCGCGCUGCAGCAGGCCAUCCGCGAGGUGGUGGGCACCGCCACGCAGGUCCGCAAGGUGCUGCUGCGGCCCGGCGCGCCGAUCCCCAAGGAGGUGGCCGGCGCCGUCGUCCUGGUCACGGACUUCCGGUCCAAGCAGACGGCCAGGGUGAUCGAGCACCUCGAGGGCACGGCCUCCAUCAGCAGGCCCAUGGCGCUGCGCUGUGGCGUACGCACCGGUCUGGACGGCUUCGUGCAGCUCACCACCAACACCUCGGCGGACGGCUCCCUGUCGCUGCUUAUUGAGUCCCACGACAUGUCGGAGGAGGAUACUCGCGUAGUGCACGUGAAGACCGACGAGCCCGUGCCCGCAGACCUGGAGGUGCCCGUCAACGGCAAGGUGGUCCUGGUGUGGAAGGGACUGCCCAGGGAGGGCGUCCUCGGGGCCGUGGCCAGCGUACGCGGCAAACCCUACGGCGCCAGAGCACGAAUCGUCGUCAUCGCGGACAACGAUGCUCCCGAGUUCUCCUUAACCAAGGGCAUCUUCAAGGAGCGUCUCGACCUGGGCCUGAUGGUCAACGUCCUCCAGGACGGCCGCUGGAGCGAGUGCCACAUCACCAAGUUCAGCGACGUCCCACCAAUCCCGACAAGGAUUGAGGGAACCCAGGUGCACUACCUCGGACUCCACGCUGCUGACGAUUUAACGACCAUCCGCGGUCCGUUCGACUACAGCGGUCUGCGCGGCGGCGCACGCGUCAUGGGCCUGGCCCAGUCGGCCCAGGGCGUCUCCGCCGUGGCGGACGACAUCCUGCAGUGGUCGGUGCCCGCCGAGUGGAGCGACCAGGAGGCCGCCACCGUGCCCCUCGCCUACGCCAUGGCGUACCACAUGCUCAAGGUGCUGGCCAAGGCCCGCGCCGGCGAGAACGUGCUGGUGGUGGGCGGCGUGUCGCCAGUGGCACAGGCCUGCAUCCGACUGGCCUCAGCCACCGGCUGCACCGUCUUCACCACGGCGGGCAACGAGGCGCAGCGCAGGGAGGUGCUCACCCUGAACCCCCAGGUGCCCGCCGAGCGCGUCCUCCGCCACGACAGCAACGCCUUCAACUACCACAUCAUCAAGAUGGUGGGCAGCAAGGGGGUCAAUGUGGCGCUGGUGCCCUACUGCGACCACAUCCUCGAGUUGAUCUGCAGGUCCGCGUCCCUCAACACCAGGAUCGUCACGACGUCCACCAAGAACGCCCUCGCGCACCACAUCGGCCUGCACAUGUUCCUUAUCUCGACGGAACUGUUCGGGGUGAGCCCCGAGGGGCUGCUGAGGAUGACGCCGCGGGACAAGCACGCCGUGCGGGGCGCGGUGCUGGAGGGCAUCACGACGGGGGUGGUGAAGCCGCUGCGUGCGUGCAUGGUGGACUCCGUCGAGGACGUCAAGACCCCCCUGCCCGCCGCCACCAAGCAGCUGGUUUGCCUGCACGACGGCACAGCCACCAGCGCCACCGGCGUCAGCGCCCCGCGACGGCCAGGUUCGUCGCCCCCGGGCGCGGCCUUCGCCAUCCUGGGCGGCCGCGUGGACUCCCUCGUCACUCUGGCGCGCGCCGCCUCCGCCAAGGGCUCCAGCGUGGUGCUCGCGGCCCACAGGGACGUCACCACCGCCUCGGCCGCGGCGGCCCGGGCCAGGUUCGUCCCCGCCAUGCGGCAGACUACGUUCGUGCCGCUGCCCAAGGCGCACGCCGACACCAAGCAGUUCCUCAACCUCGCCUCCAAGGCCGAGGGCCUCAAGGCCAUCGUCAUCAACCUGGAGGACGCCGCGGACCGCACUCUGACGUCGCUGCUGAACGCCGCGCUGCCGUCGGUGAACGGCGCGAUGCGGGGAGUGCGGCUGCUGGUGCUGACGGACAGCCUGGCGCUGGGCACCGAGACCGUGGAGAAGUGGCGGCUCAUGGGGCUGCCCGCGUGCGCGCUCGUCGGCGACGCCCGCCAGGUCGCCAAACUCCUGCCCAGCCUGCUCACCAUCAGCGAACUUCCGACCGCCGUCGUGGCCUACCAGCAAGGCACUGACUGCCGAGUGGCGCUGGGCGCCCCGACGUACCGCUCCCUCCGCGGGGACGUGGUGGAGAAGCUGCGCGCCUGCGCUACCGCCACCACCGCCUCGAGCCGCUACCCCUGUUCGCGGUGAGCGGCCCCGGCCUCACGCCCAGCCUGCUCGCCGACACGGCGGCCGGCCUGCUGUCGCCCCUCCUCGUCGGCUGCCCCGGGGACCUCACCGCGGAGCUGCUCGCGCAGGAGAUCCUGCUGCUGCAGCCGCGCGGGCCCUGGGCGCUGUGCGGCGACGCCGAGAGCGCCGAGAUGCUGCUGAGCGCCGCCUCCCUGGUGGAGCGGAAGGCGGGCAGGCCCAACUGGCAGGAGGUGGUGCACCUCGCCC
RNAcentral lists this unclassified non-coding RNA (6029 nucleotides) under Thrips palmi. RNAcentral's name for it is "fatty acid synthase-like, transcript variant X2". The record is from RNAcentral. Lineage: Eukaryota; Metazoa; Arthropoda; Insecta; Thysanoptera; Thripidae.